AUAUAUUCAUAAUUAGUAAUCAGUUCAAGUAUCCUGGAUCUCUGUUCAUUGGUUAGAUUUUGAUAUUUUUCUCUUUUAUUAUUAUUGGUACAACUAUUUUAUAGAAGAGUUAGAAGAAGAAAAAAUGGAAAAAAGUAUAUUUGAGGUGUCCAUGAGGGUCAGCGGAGUUCAAAAAGUGGGGGUGUUAUAAGACUCUUCCUUUCUGUUUUCUGUAGAUAUUUGGACUUUAA
This 230-nucleotide long non-coding RNA is filed under the name Mytilus galloprovincialis (Mediterranean mussel). Lineage: Eukaryota; Metazoa; Mollusca; Bivalvia; Mytilida; Mytilidae. The record is from RNAcentral.